AUACGGAGGGUGCAAGCGUUAAUCGGAAUUACUGGGCGUAAAGCGCACGCAGGCGGUCAAUUAAGUCAGAUGUGAAAGCCCCGAGCUUAACUUGGGAAUUGCAUCUGAAACUGGUUGGCUAGAGUCUUGUAGAGGGGGGUAGAAUUCCACGUGUAGCGGUGGAAUGCGUAGAGAUGUGGAGGAAUACCGGUGGCGAAGGCGGCCCCCUGGACAAAGACUGACGCUCAGGUGCGAAAGCGUGGGGAGCAAACAGGAUUAGAUACCCUGGUAGUCCACGCUGUAAACGAUGUCGAUUUAGAGGUUGUGGUCUUGAACUGUGGCUUCUGGAGCUAACGCGUUAAAUCGACCGCCUGGGGAGUACGGCCGCAAGGUUAAAACUCAAAUGAAUUGGCGGGG
Molecule: ribosomal RNA, 396 nt
Filed under: uncultured bacterium
Lineage: Bacteria
Description: partial 16S ribosomal RNA
Rfam family: Bacterial small subunit ribosomal RNA
Source: RNAcentral